Molecule: transfer RNA, 77 nt
Filed under: Candidatus Roizmanbacteria bacterium RIFCSPHIGHO2_02_FULL_40_13b
Lineage: Bacteria; Candidatus Roizmaniibacteriota
Description: tRNA-Arg
Rfam family: tRNA
About the family: Transfer RNA (tRNA) molecules are approximately 80 nucleotides in length.
Source: RNAcentral
GCUCUCGUAGCUCAGAUGGAUAGAGCAUCAGAUUGCGGAUCUGAAGGUCGGAGGUCCGAGUCCUCUCGAGAGCACCC